RNAcentral lists this ribosomal RNA (899 nucleotides) under uncultured bacterium. RNAcentral's name for it is "bacterial SSU rRNA". It matches the Rfam family "Bacterial small subunit ribosomal RNA", at positions 72 to 1012 of the family's 1533-position model. The record is from RNAcentral.
UCCAGCAAUGGACAGCGGCAGACGGGUGAGUAACACGUAGGAAUCUACCUCGAAAUGGGGGAUAGCCAUCCGAAAGGGUGGGUAAUACCGCAUGGUCCCGCAAGGGUAAAGCAGCAAUGCGUUUCGAGAGGAGCCUGCGUCCUAUCAGCUAGUUGGUGGGGUAAUAGCCUACCAAGGCGAUGACGGGUAGCCGAUGUGAGAGCAUGAUCGGCCACAAGGUCACUGAGACACGGGACCUACACCUACGGGUGGCAGCAACUGGGAAUCUUGCGCAAUGGAGGAAACUCUGACGCAGCGACACCGCGUGUGGGAUGAAGCCCUUAGGGGUGUAAACCACUGUGGCGAGGGAUGAAUUUUGAUAGUACCUCGCUAGAAAGCACCUGCUAAUCACGUGCCAGAAGCCUCGGUAAUACGUGAGGUGCGAGCGUUAUCCGGAUUUACUGGGCGUAAAGCGUACCGUCGGCGACUCUUUAAGUCUUUUGUCUAAGCCCAAGGCUCAACUUUGGAUCGGCAGAGGAAACUAAAGAGAUUGAGUAUGUUCGGGGGAUUUGGAAUUCUCGGUGGAGGGGUGAAAUCCGUAGAUAUCGAGAGGAACGCCAAGCGCGAAGGCAGAAUCCUAGGACAUUACUGACGCUCAGGGACGAAAGCUAGGGGAGCAAACGGGAUUAGAGACCCCGGUAGUCCUAGCCGUAAACAUUGGAUGCUAGAUGGGUCACCUUCGGUGAUCUGUCGUAAGCUAACGCGUUAAGCAUCCCGCCUGGGGAGUACGACCGCAAGGUUAAAACUCAAAGGAAUUGACGGGGGAGCGCACAACCGGUGGAGCAUGUUGUUUAAUUCGAUACGAAGCGAAAAACCUUACCCAGAUUUGACAUGUACCUGCACGGUUAUGGAAACAUAGC